CAGCAUAUUAAGCCAAGCAGUCCUGCUCUUGUGGUUCAACAGAGAGUCCUCCAAGAGAUUCUGCUCAUGUUAUAUACCAGGAGGGUGGCCAGGCAAGCUGCAGUAUGCACAUCAGGAUAGGAUGUCAGGGCUUGCACUGUCUCUUCAUCUUAAUUUGGUUUUCAUUUUGCACAUCAGUGAUUUUAAUUACUUCUGAGUAAGUAAGCCCGAGGGUCAGCAGUGUCAUUUGGCGGAUAGCAUACUGAAAGACACUACCCCAAGAAAAGCCUCUACAGUGUACAUGUCAGUGUCUGAUGUCUUCAUUUUCCCAUAAGAGCAAGAGUUAAGAUGGGGAAGGCAGAGAAAUCCAACUGAAGAAAGCUUUCAAAGUGGAUGGAGCAGAAAGCAUGAGCAGCAGCAUGUCAAGUUCAACCCAAGAACAACUUUGUCUGUGCUUUCACAACUAAAAUCCAAGACCAAAGCUAGUGCGGAUUUCCAGUCAGUGCUGUGCGCCAGCAGAAUGCUGUUGAUAUUCUUAUGGCUAAUGUGCCUCAAAGAGGAUCCCAUUAGUUUUCCGAACUGUAGAAUUCUCCACGGUUGACACUUUCUCACUGAACUCUCACGAUUGUUUGGUUUCAAAGUCUGUUGGGCUCAAGAUGCAUUUUGUUUUAAAUAAUCCUUCAUGAAAAAUUCAGCUUGCAGUCUGAUUUGAUUGAAACUCAGCCCGAGUUUGUUUUAUAAUGCAUUUGGACUGGGAAGCCUACGAGCAGUGAAUUAUUCAAGACAUACAGACAAAUGAGGGAUCUGUGCUCACACAUGGGGAGGGGUGAUCAAAAAAUAAGAAAAAUUUGACAUGUCUUGUUAUCUUAUUUUAUUUACCUUUAAAACUCCUCCAAAUAUUAGAGGAAAGAAACCAGUCUUCACCUCUGUCAGGUUCUG
RNAcentral lists this long non-coding RNA (918 nucleotides) under Cricetulus griseus (Chinese hamster). Its description in RNAcentral is "lncRNA (ENSCGRG00015039385.1)". Lineage: Eukaryota; Metazoa; Chordata; Mammalia; Rodentia; Cricetidae. The record is from RNAcentral.